GUGAGGAAUAUUGGUCAAUGGGCGAGAGCCUGAACCAGCCAAGUCGCGUGAAGGAAGAAGGAUCUAUGGUUCGUAAACUUCUUUUGCAGGGGAAUAAAGUGUAGGACGUGUCCUGUUUUGUAUGUACCCUGAGAAUAAGGAUCGGCUAACUCCGUGCCAGCAGCCGCGGUAAUACGGAGGAUCCGAGCGUUAUCCGGAUUUAUUGGGUUUAAAGGGUGCGUAGGUGGUUUGAUAAGUCGGCGGUGAAAGUUUGCAGCUUAACUGUAAAAAUGCCGUUGAAACUGUCGGACUUGAGUGUAAAUGAGGUAGGCGGAAUGCGUGGUGUAGCGGUGAAAUGCAUAGAUAUCACGCAGAACUCCGAUUGCGAAGGCAGCUUACUAAGCUACAACUGACACUGAAGCACGAAAGCGUGGGGAUCAAACAGGAUUAGAAACCCGGGUAGUCC
This 445-nucleotide ribosomal RNA is filed under the name uncultured bacterium. RNAcentral describes it as "partial 16S ribosomal RNA". It matches the Rfam family "Bacterial small subunit ribosomal RNA", at positions 354 to 796 of the family's 1533-position model. The record is from RNAcentral.